Molecule: long non-coding RNA, 877 nt
Filed under: Calidris pygmaea (Spoon-billed sandpiper)
Lineage: Eukaryota; Metazoa; Chordata; Aves; Charadriiformes; Scolopacidae
Description: lncRNA (ENSCPGG00000013518.1)
Source: RNAcentral
GAAAAAAAAGGAAAAGCACAGAAACUGAGCAUAUUACACCUCCCCGAUUUCCGAGAUGCAUAAGCAGCAAGUAUUUCCUUGUAAAAAGUAGCUCCAUAGAUACUAAUCACCAGUCUGCAUGAAUGCAGGGGGCUCUAGUCCUUCCCUGUCCUACCUCCUGACACCUCGGUACUGCUAGAGACUUCGUGGAGAGAAAGAGAGGACCCAGAUUUGCCAUUGGGGCUCUCCUAUCAUGGGAGAAACUCCAGUACAUCAGAUGCUGAGUCCUCAGGAGGAGAGACCAAUGACUAAUAAAUCAGGUGGUUCUUCCUUCAGUAUAUAUCACAUACUGGGAUCAAUAAGAAGCAGAAGAAAAAAGUUCUUUUGUUUACAUGAGGGUUCCACAGGGAAGCCGCUCAGUUCUCCAGUGCACUGAACAACAUCAACCCUUAGGCUGAUUUCUCCAGCCCAACCUCCAAUACUUAAAACAAACCAUGAAAGAAUCAGAGACUAAUUCACAGCAUAGCCAACAACUGCAUUACAACAGAGAAACCUCAACCAGCAACUGAAGUUAUUCUUUUGCCAAAGGAACAGGCAACUGCUAGCCACGUAAAAUUAGCACAUCACCUAGAGAAAACUGUUUCAGAAAGCAGUACGUUUCAACCUCUGGUUCACGGCUCAUAGUAAGUUCUUUAGUUGCUAUGUUUUUCUCUGCCUACUUCUAUCUGUAAUGAAUCUACCGCACAAAUCUGAAACUCCUAUGCAUAGAAGCACCCAACACAGGGAAGCAGAUGUAAUUAAACUUCCAAAGACUGGUCACAUUUUCAGUUGGUUGCAGCAAGUGGAGAUGCCAACGCCAGACAAAAUGGUCUUGGAAUAAAGGUCGAGCGCCUCCUCA